UUGUUGGUGAGGUAAUGGCUCACCAAGGCGUCGACGGGUAGCCGGCCUGAGAGGGUGACCGGCCACACUGGGACUGAGACACGGCCCAGACUCCUACGGGAGGCAGCAGUGGGGAAUAUUGCACAAUGGGCGAAAGCCUGAUGCAGCAACGCCGCGUGAGGGACGACGGCCUUCGGGUUGUAAACCUCUUUUAGCAAGGAAGAAGCGAAAGUGACGGUACUUGCAGAAAAGGCGCCGGCUAACUACGUGCCAGCAGCCGCGGUAAUACGUAGGGCGCAAGCGUUAUCCGGAAUUAUUGGGCGUAAAGAGCUCGUAGGCGGUUUGUCGCGUCUGCUGUGAAAACCCGAGGCUCAACCUCGGGCCUGCAGUGGGUACGGGCAGACUAGAGUGCGGUAGGGGAGAUUGGAACUCCUGGUGUAGCGGUGGAAUGCGCAGAUAUCAGGAAGAACGCCGAUGGCGAAGGCAGAUCUCUGGGCCGUAACUGACGCUGAGGAGCGAAAGGGUGGGGAGCAAACAGGCUUAGAUACCCUGGUAGUCCACCCCGUAAACGUUGGGAACUAGUUGUGGGGUCCAUUCCACGGAUUCCGUGACGCAGCUAACGCAUUAAGUUCCCCGCCUGGGGAGUACGGAAUCUCUAGAGGAUCCCC
Molecule: ribosomal RNA, 647 nt
Filed under: uncultured Actinomycetes bacterium
Lineage: Bacteria; Bacillati; Actinomycetota; Actinomycetes
Description: bacterial SSU rRNA
Rfam family: Bacterial small subunit ribosomal RNA
Source: RNAcentral